GUGCUUGCUUCAGCAACACACAUACUAAAAUUGGAAUAAUACAGAGAAGAUUAGCAUGUCCCCUAUGCAAGAAUGACACGGAAUUCAUGAAGCAUUUGUAUUUUUA
Small nuclear RNA from Callithrix jacchus (white-tufted-ear marmoset), 106 nucleotides. The record is from Ensembl. NCBI's taxonomy places the organism in Eukaryota, Metazoa, Chordata, Mammalia, Primates, Cebidae.